RNAcentral lists this ribosomal RNA (357 nucleotides) under Bacillus australimaris. RNAcentral describes it as "bacterial SSU rRNA". It matches the Rfam family "Bacterial small subunit ribosomal RNA", at positions 41 to 387 of the family's 1533-position model. Lineage: Bacteria; Bacillati; Bacillota; Bacilli; Caryophanales; Bacillaceae. The record is from RNAcentral.
CGUGGGGCAGCUAUACAUGCAGUCGAGCGGACAGAAGGGAGCUUGCUCCCGGAUGUUAGCGGCGGACGGGUGAGUAACACGUGGGUAACCUGCCUGUAAGACUGGGAUAACUCCGGGAAACCGGAGCUAAUACCGGAUAGUUCCUUGAACCGCAUGGUUCAAGGAUGAAAGACGGUUUCGGCUGUCACUUACAGAUGGACCCGCGGCGCAUUAGCUAGUUGGUGGGGUAAUGGCUCACCAAGGCGACGAUGCGUAGCCGACCUGAGAGGGUGAUCGGCCACACUGGGACUGAGACACGGCCGCCACUCCUACGGGAGGCAGCAGUAGGGAAUCUUCUACAAUGGACGAAAGUCAGAC